UUAGAUGGAGUUGGUCAAAUGAGG
RNAcentral lists this non-coding RNA (24 nucleotides) under Cricetulus griseus (Chinese hamster). The record is from RNAcentral. Lineage: Eukaryota; Metazoa; Chordata; Mammalia; Rodentia; Cricetidae.